UAACCUAUUCUCAAACUUUAAAUAUGUAAGAAGUCCUUGUUACUUAGUUGAACGUGGACAUUUGAAUGUACCGUUACUAGUGGGCCAUUUUUGGUAAGCAGAACUGGCGAUGCGGGAUGAACCGAACGCGAGGUUAAGGUGCCGGAAUGCACGCUCAUCAGACACCACAAAAGAUGUCAGUUCAUCUAGACAGCCGGACGGUGGCCAUGGAAGUCGGAAUCCGCUAAGGAGUGUGUAACAACUCACCGGCCGAAUGAACUGGCUCUGAAAAUGGAUGGCGCUCAAGCGUGCUACCUAUACCUCGCCGCCAGGGUAGAAACGAUGCCCUGGCGAGUAGGCUGGCGUGGAGGUCCGUGACGAAGCCUUGGGGGUGACCCCGGGUCGAACGGCCUCUAGUGCAGAUCUUGGUGGUAGUA
This 416-nucleotide ribosomal RNA is filed under the name Squamulea flakusii. RNAcentral describes it as "Huriella sp. KW-2019a partial large subunit ribosomal RNA". It matches the Rfam family "Eukaryotic large subunit ribosomal RNA", at positions 1048 to 1462 of the family's 3401-position model. Lineage: Eukaryota; Fungi; Ascomycota; Lecanoromycetes; Teloschistales; Teloschistaceae. The record is from RNAcentral.